This 122-nucleotide ribosomal RNA is filed under the name Suillus variegatus. RNAcentral's name for it is "5.8S ribosomal RNA". It matches the Rfam family "5.8S ribosomal RNA", at positions 1 to 121 of the family's 154-position model. Rfam says of the family: 5.8S ribosomal RNA (5.8S rRNA) is a component of the large subunit of the eukaryotic ribosome. The record is from RNAcentral. Lineage: Eukaryota; Fungi; Basidiomycota; Agaricomycetes; Boletales; Suillaceae.
AACUUUCAGCAAUGGAUCUCUUGGCUCUCGCAUCGAUGAAGAACGCAGCGAAUCGCGAUAUGUAAUGUGAAUUGCAGAUCUACAGUGAAUCAUCGAAUCUUUGAACGCACCUUGCGCUUAUC